Molecule: long non-coding RNA, 1424 nt
Filed under: Homo sapiens (human)
Lineage: Eukaryota; Metazoa; Chordata; Mammalia; Primates; Hominidae
Description: HSALNT0052761
Source: RNAcentral
AUCCGAGGUGGGGUUUUUUUUCAUUGUUUCCCCAACAAGAAAUAUGUCUUCUGUCAAAUGACACAAAUAGGAAAUGAUCUCAUGUGGUCUUUAUUUCUCUCCUUUAUGAAAAAGAAGUCAUUUUCUGAAAUCACCUUUUUAGUCAGUCUGAGGGAUCCUGACUGGUCUGUGGUAGCACACACAGCUGGUGUGGACCAUCAGCACAUGGGCUGCAAGGAAAAUCGCCCCGAUGUCCAGACAGUGGGGCCAGGUGGUUUCUGGGUUUUGGCCUAGCCCCUGCUCUUGGUCUGACUGAGCAAUACUUCCCCAGAUGUCCCUUGCCCUUCAGCCCACUGGCCCUGACCUUUGUUAGAAGUGGAUGCCCAGCAGCUUUCUGGUUGUCUGUGAAUGCCCGGUGAAGAUUCUGAACUGAUUCCUCACCAGACAGUUGCUCUGUUUGCACCACAAGGGGCUUUCCCACGUGUGAGCAGGCCUCCCACCAGCUUCAUUCCUCCAAACUCCCAAACCAGCAGCACUGUCUCCUAAGAUACAACAGGACAGGCUUUGAGGACAGAAACCCAGGGUCACGUUCCUGCUCCAUCACUUUCCAUCAGCAUGGUCUCGGGCAAGGGAAUCGUGGUCUCAAGAUGGCCAGGUUUUGGACUUACACCAUAGGCUCUACUGGUCCUUAGGCCUUUGGACUGAGGCUGGAACCACAUCCUCAGCUCUCCUGGAUCUCCAGCUUGGCAACUGCAGACCUUGGGACAUUUCAGAUUCCAUAAUCAUGACGAAGGCGAUGGCAGCAGUUUUCCAGGCUAGCUGUCUUCACAACCCGAUGGCUCUCUUCUUUUCUGCUGCCACAGAGACUGACUGUCUGCCUCCUGCAAAUUUGAAAUUUGGCAAACCUGCCUCCUCUGCUUCUCAGAACCAAACUGGGGCCAGGAGAACUUCUGACCCAAGUGUUGAUCACCUCUCUUCCUGCACCUCACUGUGCACCCUCUGCUCAGGAAAUGCCUUUGGCGUGUUGCUGACGUCUGUCCCUGCUCCAUCUCUUACCACCCUGCACUUCACCCUUUCCCACACAGGUUUCACCUGAUCUCAGCUGCUUUGGGCAGACCAUCCAGGUAUUUUGGAGUCUGAAAAGGAUCUCUGUCUCUAAGUCUGGUGCAAAUGGAGUUUGGGGGUUUUAAAAUUCAUUCUUCUUGCUGCUGUUUCACAAUUUCUCAGAAAAGGUGAAAAUGCAGACUUUGGCAGUUAUGUUCAAUAUGAAAAGUCUUAAUAAAGUAAUUUUUGACCUAAAGCCCACCAGUAUUUCUGGAACAAUUCAGUCAAUCUUUGAACUUGGUCACAUAAAGUCUUAUUAGAAACACAACGGGGAUUUUGGAGACAGGACUAGUGAACUUUGUGUAGUUAAAUAGAAACUUGAAUUGCCAGUGUAGAGUACU